RNAcentral lists this ribosomal RNA (494 nucleotides) under uncultured marine bacterium. Its description in RNAcentral is "bacterial SSU rRNA". It matches the Rfam family "Bacterial small subunit ribosomal RNA", at positions 49 to 526 of the family's 1533-position model. The record is from RNAcentral.
UAAUACAUGCAAGUCGAGCGGAUCUUCAUUAGCUUGCUUUUGAAGAUCAGCGGCGGACGGGUGAGUAACACGUGGGCAACCUGCCUGUAAGACUGGGAUAACUUCGGGAAACCGGAGCUAAUACCGGAUAAUCCUUUCCCUCACAUGAGGGAAAGCUGAAAGACGGUUUCGGCUGUCACUUACAGAUGGGCCCGCGGCGCAUUAGCUAGUUGGUGAGGUAACGGCUCACCAAGGCAACGAUGCGUAGCCGACCUGAGAGGGUGAUCGGCCACACUGGGACUGAGACACGGCCCAGACUCCUACGGGAGGCAGCAGUAGGGAAUCUUCCGCAAUGGACGAAAGUCUGACGGAGCAACGCCGCGUGAACGAUGAAGGCUUUCGGGUCGUAAAGUUCUGUUGUCAGGGAAGAACAAGUACCGGAGUAACUGCCGGUACUUUGACGGUACCUGACCAGAAAGCCACGGCUAACUACGUGCCAGCAGCCGCGGUAAUAC